RNAcentral lists this ribosomal RNA (748 nucleotides) under uncultured bacterium. RNAcentral describes it as "bacterial SSU rRNA". It matches the Rfam family "Bacterial small subunit ribosomal RNA", at positions 89 to 853 of the family's 1533-position model. The record is from RNAcentral.
GGGACAGUGGCAAACGGGUGAGUAACACGUAAGUAACCUGCCCUUAAGUGGGGGAUAACCCUGGGAAACCGGGGCUAAUACCGCAUGUGGUGGUGGGGGUAAUGCUCCAUCACUAAAGCCGCAAGGUGCUUGGGGAGGGGCUUGCGGCCGAUUAGCUAGUUGGUAGAGUAAUGGUUUACCAAGGCGACAAUCGGUAGCUGGUCUGAGAGGAUGGUCAGCCACACUGGGACUGAGACACGGCCCAGACUCCUACGGGAGGCAGCAGCAAGGAAUUUUGUGCAAUGGGCGAAAGCCUGACACAGCGACGCCGCGUGGGGGAAGAAGGCUUUCGGGUUGUAAACCCCUUUUCUCAGGGAAGAAUAAUGACGGUACCUGAGGAAGAAGUCUCGGCUAACUACGUGCCAGCAGCCGCGGUAAGACGUAGGAGGCAAGCGUUAUCCGGAUUUAUUGGGCGUAAAGAGGGCGCAGGCGGCUUUUCAAGUCGGAUGUAAAAUCUCCCAGCUCAACUGGGAGGGAUCAUUCGAUACUGUUAGGCUAGAGAGCAGCAGAGGGAGGUGGAAUUCCCGGUGUAGUGGUGAAAUGCGUAGAUAUCGGGAGGAACACCAGUGGCGAAGGCGACCUCCUGGGCUGUUUCUGACGCUGAGGCCCGAAAGCGUGGGGAGCGAACAGGAUUAGAUACCCUGGUAGUCCACGCCGUAAACGAUGGACACUAGGUAUGGGGAGUAUCGACCCUCUCCGUGCCGUAGCU